UACGAAGGUGGCAAGCGUUGUUCGGUAUCACUGGGCUUAAAGAGUGUGUAGGCGGAAAGGUAAGCGUUUUGUGAAAUCCCCCGACUCAACCGGGGAAUUGCUUGACGAACUGCCUUUCUUGAGGCAAGCAGGGGUGCGUGGAACUCUUGGUGGAGCGGUGGAAUGCGUAGAUAUCAAGAGGAACGCCAACGGUGAAAACAGCGCACUGGACUUGUUCUGACGCUGAGACACGAAAGCGUGGGGAGCGAACGGGAUUAGAUACCCCCGUA
Molecule: ribosomal RNA, 269 nt
Filed under: uncultured prokaryote
Description: partial 16S ribosomal RNA
Rfam family: Bacterial small subunit ribosomal RNA
Source: RNAcentral